CCUACGGGUGGCAGCAGUGAGGAAUAUUGGUCAAUGGGCGCGAGCCUGAACCAGCCAAGUAGCGUGAAGGAUGACUGCCCUAGGGGUUGUAAACUUCUUUUAUAAAGGAAUAAAGUGAGGCACGUGUGCCUUUUUGGAUGUACUUUAUGAAUAAGGAUCGGCUAACUCCGUGCCAGUAGCCGCGGUAAUACGGAGGAUCCGAGCGUUAUCCGGAUUGAUUGGGUUUAAAGGGAGCGUAGAUGGGUUGUUAAGUCAGUUGUGAAAGUUUGGGGCUCAACCGUAAAAUUGCAAUUGAUACUGGCAGUCUUGAGUACAGUUGGGGUAGGCGGAAUUCGUGGUGUAGCGGUGAAAUGCUUAGAUAUGACGAAGAACUCCGAUUGCGAAGGCAGCUUACUAAGCUGCCACUGACAUUGAUGCUCGAAAGUGUGGGUAUCAAACAGGAUUAGAUACCCGGGUAGUC
Molecule: ribosomal RNA, 460 nt
Filed under: uncultured bacterium
Lineage: Bacteria
Description: partial 16S ribosomal RNA
Rfam family: Bacterial small subunit ribosomal RNA
Source: RNAcentral